AGCGAACGCUGGCGGCAGGCCUAACACAUGCAAGUCGAACGGCCCUUCGGGGUAGUGGCGGACGGGUGAGUAACGCGUGGGAAUGUGCCCUUUGGUACGGAACAACUGAGGGAAACUUCAGCUAAUACCGUAUGUGCCCUUCGGGGGAAAGAUUUAUCGCCAUUGGAGCAGCCCGCGUUGGAUUAGGUAGUUGGUGGGGUAAAGGCCUACCAAGCCUACGAUCCAUAGCUGGUCUGAGAGGAUGAUCAGCCACAUUGGGACUGAGACACGGCCCAAACUCCUACGGGAGGCAGCAGUGGGGAAUCUUGCGCAAUGGGCGAAAGCCUGACGCAGCCAUGCCGCGUGUAUGAUGAAGGUCUUAGGAUUGUAAAAUACUUUCACCGGGGAAGAUAAUGACGGUACCCGGAGAAGAAGCCCCGGCUAACUUCGUGCCAGCAGCCGCGGUAAU
RNAcentral lists this ribosomal RNA (448 nucleotides) under uncultured bacterium. Its description in RNAcentral is "bacterial SSU rRNA". It matches the Rfam family "Bacterial small subunit ribosomal RNA", at positions 29 to 524 of the family's 1533-position model. The record is from RNAcentral.